AUUGAACGCUGGCGGCAUGCCUUACACAUGCAAGUCGAACGGCAGCACGGGUGCUUGCACCUGGUGGCGAGUGGCGAACGGGUGAGUAAUACAUCGGAACGUACCUUAUCGUGGGGGAUAACGCAGCGAAAGUUACGCUAAUACCGCAUACGACCUGAGGGUGAAAGCAGGGGAUCGCAAGACCUUGCGUUAUACGAGCGGCCGAUGUCAGAUUAGCUAGUUGGUGAGGUAAAGGCUCACCAAGGCGACGAUCUGUAGCGGGUCUGAGAGGAUGAUCCGGCACACUGGGACUGAGACACGGCCCAGACUCCUACGGGAGGCAGCAGUGGGGAAUUUGGGACAAUGGGGGCAACCCUGAUCCAGCCAUGCCGCGUGAGUGAAGAAGGCCUUCGGGUUGUAAAGCUCUUUCGGCCGGGAAGAAAUCGCACGGGCUAAUACCCUGUGUGGAUGACGGUACCGGAAUAAGAAGCACCGGCUAACUACGUGCCAGCAGCCGCGGUAA
Molecule: ribosomal RNA, 502 nt
Filed under: uncultured bacterium
Lineage: Bacteria
Description: partial 16S ribosomal RNA
Rfam family: Bacterial small subunit ribosomal RNA
Source: RNAcentral